UACGUAGGGGGCAAGCGUUGUCCGGAAUCAUUGGGCGUAAAGCGCGCGUAGGCGGCCCUGUAAGUCCGUUGUGAAAGUCAAAGGCUCAACCUUUGAAUGCCGAUGGAUACUGCAGGGCUAGAGUCCGGAAGAGGCGAGUGGAAUUCCUGGUGUAGCGGUGGAAUGCGCAGAUAUCAGGAGGAACACCAAUAGCGAAGGCAGCUCGCUGGGACGGUACUGACGCUAAGGCGCGAAAGCGUGGGGAGCGAACAGG
This 253-nucleotide ribosomal RNA is filed under the name uncultured bacterium. RNAcentral describes it as "partial 16S ribosomal RNA". It matches the Rfam family "Bacterial small subunit ribosomal RNA", at positions 524 to 776 of the family's 1533-position model. The record is from RNAcentral.